RNAcentral lists this ribosomal RNA (271 nucleotides) under uncultured bacterium. Its description in RNAcentral is "partial 16S ribosomal RNA". The record is from RNAcentral.
CUGCUGCCUCCCGUAGGAGUUUGGACCGUGUCUCAGUUCCAAUGUGGGGGACCUUCCUCUCAGAACCCCUAUCCAUCGUUGUCUUGGUGGGCCGUUACCCCGCCAACUAACUAAUGGAAUGCAUCCCCAUCCCAUACCGAAAUUCUUUAAUAAUCCCAUCAUGCGGUAGGACUAUAACAUCGGGUAUUAAUCUUUCUUUCGAAAGGCUAUCCCCGAGUAUGAGGCAGGUUGGAUACGUGUUACUCACCCGUGCGCCGGUCGCCAUCAAAAG